Molecule: ribosomal RNA, 484 nt
Filed under: uncultured bacterium
Lineage: Bacteria
Description: partial 16S ribosomal RNA
Rfam family: Bacterial small subunit ribosomal RNA
Source: RNAcentral
AUUGAACGCUGGCGGAAUGCUUUACACAUGCAAGUCGAACGAUGAACCUUAGCUUGCUAAGGGGAUUAGUGGCGAACGGGUGAGUAAUAUAUCGGAACGUGCCUUGUAAUGGGGGAUAACUAGUCGAAAGAUUAGCUAAUACCGCAUACGCCCUGAGGGGGAAAGUUGGGGAUCUUCGGACCUUACGUUAUAAGAGCGGCCGAUAUCUGAUUAGCUAGUUGGUGGGGUAAUGGCCUACCAAGGCGACGAUCAGUAGCUGGUCUGAGAGGACGACCAGCCACACUGGAACUGAGACACGGUCCAGACUCCUACGGGAGGCAGCAGUGGGGAAUUUUGGACAAUGGGCGCAAGCCUGAUCCAGCCAUUCCGCGUGAGUGAAGAAGGCCUUCGGGUUGUAAAGCUCUUUCGCAAGGGAAGAAAACUUACCAUCGAAUAAAUGGUGAGGCUGACGGUACCUUGAUAAGAAGCACCGGCUAACUACGUG